Non-coding RNA from Suillus subaureus, 136 nucleotides. The record is from the annotation of a RefSeq genome assembly. Lineage: Eukaryota; Fungi; Basidiomycota; Agaricomycetes; Boletales; Suillaceae.
GGCCGACUAGCUCAGUUGGUUAGAGCGUCGUGCUAAUACGAUUCGCUGGUAAAGUUAUGACAAGUACUCUUAACUUCAUAAUCUUACCGACGAACUCGAUACGCGAAGGUCUUGGGUUCGAUCCCCACGUUGGCCA